GGUACGACCGCUAUUAGUUAGCCUCGUUUUGAGUUAUGUGCGUCUGUGGCGAUGGCUUUAGGUGGUGCUGAAUGUGACGUCGCGAAACACCAGAUAGUCCAAGUUUUCUUGCUUUUUCCAUAGAUUAGUGUCUGCGAGACGAACAACGUUACCAUUAUCCUGAAGGCUACCUGUGUAGGCACGUACUUUGAAUGUAGCUAUCUAGUGUAAACAACUUCAGUAGUCUGCAACACUAACGUAUUAUGCGAGCGCCUGUGCUAUUUUAGGUAGACGCUGUAUUGUGUAGCGCAUCGGCCACGCGAGACGUAAAUACCAUUCGUUGCAUGAUUAUAUGCGCUUAGUUGCUUCUGAUUUCGACGUUGGAAUCGCACACUGGUCCUGCGCUACUGGUCGAAAUCUCUUCCAUUGAACAAACAAUCUGUUGCGUUCGCUAAACCUUGUCCUAGCAAGGCAAAGAAGGCCAGCAGCAGCAGGGAAAGCGAGUCCCAUAGUGACGUUCGGCAACGAAGACGAACAAAUAAAGGGUGCAAGUAAAAGGAUACAUACGAUGAACGCGCAAUAGUAAUAAUGGAGUGCUUACUAGUAUUGGCGCUCUGCAUAUGCUGAUUAGGACGUUUGGCGCACCUGUAGUGGCAACACGAGUUUCAACAACAAUAACAGGUUAUUCGAACACGACGAGUAUUGUGUGCUAUCGAUGAAUCUGUGCGGUGGCUUGUUCAACUUGUACGUUCUUCGCCAUACAACAUCAAUGUCUUGUCCAUAGGAGGAAACGUAAAAGUGUAAGAGCAUUACUGUUUCCACUUAAAGAUGGUUAGACAGUUCCCUAGUUGAAAUCGUGACCGAAAGGAUUAAUUGACUGUUACGCUCCGUCAGACAGAAUACAUUGCCCGCUUGCGAGACAAACGUUUUACUAGGCAGUACUGAUUUUGCUUUGAAGACAUUAUGCUUUGAAUUUGUGAUCUUAGUUGUGUAGAUUUUGCGAUACAGGCGAAUCGAAGCCGCCUCGGAUCUGUUGAAGCCUUCAACUGGUGCGGGAUAAGCCAGAAAGAAACCAUGAGGAACGGAGUUGUUUCUAUGGGGUCCUUGGGCCGUACCCCGAUAACUUUGCGGGGCUUUACCUCCCCACCACCAGGAGUUAACCAAAACGUACGGCCUAGUGUUCAGCUUCUUCAGAUCCUCAGAACUGUCCAGAUAUCGUCGUACUCAUCGAAGGGCGCCUUAGACAUGAAGGACGGUGGCAAAGGCGGGGGCCUGGCCCCGCCGGGCAGUCUCGCCGCCGCUGGCGGUGGAGGAGGAGGAGGAGGAGGCGUUGGUGGUGGGGUCGGAGGUGGGGCCGGAGUGAAAAAAUACGCCAACGGGGGCGGUGGGCUCGGUGGAGCACCCCUCGCCGGAUCGGGUUCAACGAAUCCCCGGGACACAGGCGGCAACACGUCGCCAACGCACGUGAAACGCGAACGCCGACAGAGUUCGUCCAGAUUCAACCUGACUACCAAUAGGGAACUUGUGGAUCUGCCCACCAUCAAAGAUGCUGCUCCAGAGGAGCGUGAAGCGCUCCUGAUUAAGAAGAUGCAACAGUGCUGUGUGAUCUUCGAUUUCGUCAGUGAUCCCCUGUCCGACAUCAAAUGGAAGGAGGUCAAGAGGGCAGCGCUUCAUGAAAUGCUAGACUACCUGAGUACACAACGAGGAGCGAUCACCGAACCGGUCUAUGGCGAGAUAACGCGCAUGUUUGCCACGAACGUGUUCCGGACGCUGCCACCGUCAAGUAAUCCAAAUGGCGCUGAGUUUGACCCUGAAGAGGAUGAGCCUACACUUGAGGCAGCCUGGCCGCAUCUCCAGCUUGUUUAUGAACUCUUUCUCAGGUUCCUUGAAUCAGCAAACUUCCAGCCGACGCUCGCCAAAAGGUGCAUUGAUCAUCGGUUUGUUCUGCAGCUGCUCGAGCUCUUCGAUAGCGAAGACCCGCGCGAGCGUGACUUUCUAAAGACAACACUGCACCGCAUCUACGGCAAGUUCCUGUCUCUUCGCGGCUACAUUCGCAAACAGAUCAACAACAUCUUCUACCGAUUCAUCUAUGAGACAGAGCGGCACAACGGGGUCGCCGAGCUGUUGGAGAUUCUCGGCUCCAUCAUCAAUGGUUUCGCGCUACCACUGAAAGAAGAGCACAAAGUAUUCCUUCUAAAAGUUCUCAUGCCGUUACACAAGGUCAAAUCACUAUCAGUUUACCAUCCUCAGCUGGCAUAUUGUGUUGUACAAUUCCUCGAGAAAGAUCCCUCGCUGACGAAGCCGGUCAUCUUAUCGCUACUCAAAUUCUGGCCAAAGGUGCACAGUCCUAAGGAGGUGAUGUUUCUGAAUGAGCUAGAGGAGAUCUUGGACGUCAUCGAACCGGCAGAGUUUCAAAAAAUUCAGGUCCCACUUUUCAAACAGCUGGCACGCUGUGUCAGUUCGCCACACUUUCAGGUGGCCGAAAGGGCCUUGUACUACUGUAACAAUGAAUACAUCAUGUCACUCAUCUCGGACAAUGUGCAUGAAAUAUUGCCUAUUAUGUUUCCCGCGCUGUACAAAAACCGAGAAAGUCAUUGGAACAAGACGAUCUAUGGGCUUAUUUACGGAGCCUUGAAGCAGUUCAUGGAGAUUAACCAAACGCUGUUCAACGAGUGUGUGAAGAAGUUUGAGGAGGAGAGCGGACUCGACGAGACCAAGGAAAAGCAGCGCCAGGAAUUCUGGCAGAAAGUUCAACAGAUGGCCAUCCAGAACCCGCAGCUACCCCAGACUUCAUACGGUGCCGGGCCAAGCUGAAAGUAAACGCCACCCAAAAGCUUAUCCUACUGCAGAACGUUUUUGUAAAGGAAACUCGCGUCCCGUAAACAAAUAGACAAAUAGUUAAUUGGAUUGGCGUAGGCGGUGAUCGAGUGGGUUCCUAUUAUCGACUGGUCUAUAGUACAGGACGCAGGAAGCAUCCAGGAGGCGCGAGAAAAUUGAGGGGGUUGAGGGCAGGGCUGGUAAAACAAACAACUCGGUUUAUAAAUCGACAACACCGCAGGUGGAACGUACACUUGUGCAAGGUGCCGCGCGUGCCCAGCUGACAAAUUCGGUGUGCAUUCAGCAACAACUGCAGACUGAGGUAAUGUGAAAGCAUGACGAACCGAAAAUGUGGAUUCAGGUGGAUCGCAGAGUGGAAGGAAAAGCAAACAACAACAACAACAACAACAACAACAACAACAUCAGCAUCAACAACAACAACAACAACAACAGCAGCAGGAUUUAGGAAGACGGGUGGAUGGAAACAGAUAAGAGUUGACGAAGCAAUGCGAUGUUCGAAUCCGGCAACAUUCUCGAACGAGCUGAAAGACGCGUAGAAAACGAAACCGAUCACUGAACGACGGGUUGGCGCGUCAUAUAUUUAGAAGAGACACCACCUCACGUCGCACGACCCACGUCAUACCAGCACGGAAACAGCAUUACUGGGUCGACAGGCUAUCUAAUCGGGAAAAAGGCGAGCACCGCUAUACCUGGCGGAAGGAGGAGUAGUACUAUCGCCGUAACUAUUCUGUUUUUAAAGUCGAGUCUAUGAAGUACACUAAGACGAAACGAAACCUUACGCGAUAGGUUCAUACAGCAAUCGCUACUCUAGCGAGCCACAAUGGAUGCAUACGGAUUGUCAUGAUAUAUUAUAAAUGGAUACCAAUAUCGAAUAGAGUGGACUAGAGAAAUGUCAAGUGGCCUACAGUUGCCUACGAGCUGCCGUCGUGGACACGACACGACCUUCAGGAGACGUCGGCUAUUACCGUCAAUCAAUUAGCAGGGGGUACAAUGCCUCAGUGAAUCGCCAGUAAGCUGUAAGCCCAUAUAUGGUGGCGUAAUAGGAGGUUAGGAAACGGAUCGGGAAGGUGCGUUCACAUCCGGUGUCCUUGAACCCAGGUGAAAGCACCCAUGUCCUGGUCAGACGUUAUCGUAAGGAGCCACAGCUUAACAGCCCCGUGUAUAAAUGCGGCCAGAGCGAAUGUACAUGCGCACAGCGCAUGAUCUGGCCUCUGUGGGAUAAUGGAAAGAAAGAGCAGGUGUUGUAACGACCGGUAUUAUAGUAAAGAAUUGGAUAGUUGCUUUUUUGCAAAUCGGUUUGUCCUAGACAUUUCUGGCACAUGCUUAAUGGUAAUUAGACAAGGCCAUUUCUCUCUGAGUCUUUGGGAUAAGGAAAGCUAAAAAAGAUGUGUAUAUAGCUCCAUUACAUCGAUUUUGUGUAGCUUUCCUUGAUUUGUCUUUUGUAUGCCCCUGCCCUAGGCUCGUGACCUGUUUCGCUUUUAACGUUCUGAAUGGUAAUUUCAUUUUCCGAUCACAGAUAAACCUAAAACUAGGCACGCAGUUACGUUUGCACUUUUCCAAUUGUGCUGUACUUUUGUGUUCAAUCUGCGUUAGAGAAACGGACUGGGUUAGAGAACGGGUUGUCUUGCUAAGUCGGUAUUGGUAGGUUGGCCUUACAAGCUAUCUCUUGAAAACGGUAUGGUCAAACGAGAGUUCUGGGAGCUACCAGCUUAUCCAUCAGAUACGAAAAUUUUAUUCUACUGAUAGUCGUUGAACUAAAUUAUGAAGGGCAGUCGUUGGAGAUGAUGAAUGAAAAACCUCUGUAAAAGUAAUGCCAUCAAAAAAAAAACGUACGAAAUAGAAGCGAGAAGAUCCAUGUGAUGGGCAGCAAUGCAUACACGAUUGAUAAAAAUAUGGAGACCAGAUCAGAUGUUUACAAAACAUCUGUUGCUAAACAUUUCUUGCGGCUUUACUGAUUAAUUAGUAGGUAAUUUAAUGGGCGCAACUCGACAGAUGACGGACUUUUCUUGUUUUUGCCAUGUUUUUCUUCGUAGCUGGUCCGAAGAGCUAAGCGAUUCUUUCUACGGCAGAAACGCGUGUGCCAUCUUCAGUAUAAUGCACGUUAGGCUAGGCCUAUGAGAAGCCAAAACUUUACGGGACUAUUGAAACAAUUUUACUGUACCCGUCAGUUAGACAUCUGAUAGGGUUGCUAUAUAUUGGUUGUGGGGAUAUACAUCGAUACGUUGAAGGCGUGAAACAAUGAUGAUAGAUUCACUAAGCUAGAAGGCAGAGCUUGACGAGCGGCUUGGUAACGAAGUAGGGCCAAAAGGAAGCUGAAUGACAGAGUCGAGAAUGAACGGCGGGAAGCAGGACACUGGCGGGACGAAGCGGAUAAUAGUACUGUUUUAUGCACGGUAACGAAACUAUUCCGUGCUCGGUCGGUUAUGCCAAUUUGUGCGAAUGGUACCAUUACUACAGGACUGCUUUACUCUCCCGUAUCUGCUGGUCGGACGGUGGCAACUCAACAAAUGAUAAAGAAACAGUAACAAAACGUGACAGUGUAGAAAUGAGUGCUAAAUAGAGAAGUCAAAUGGAAAACGAGGAGAAUUGGUGAUCAGACAACG
Non-coding RNA from Varroa destructor (honeybee mite), 5420 nucleotides. Lineage: Eukaryota; Metazoa; Arthropoda; Arachnida; Mesostigmata; Varroidae. The record is from RefSeq and is a predicted model, not a curated record.